GACGAACGCUGGCGGCGUGCUUAACACAUGCAAGUCGAACGGAAAGGCCCUGCUUUUGUGGGGUGCUCGAGUGGCGAACGGGUGAGUAACACGUGAGUAACCUGCCCUUGACUUUGGGAUAACUUCAGGAAACUGGGGCUAAUACCGGAUAGGAGCUCCUGCUGCAUGGUGGGGGUUGGAAAGUUUCGGCGGUUGGGGAUGGACUCGCGGCUUAUCAGCUUGUUGGUGGGGUAGUGGCUUACCAAGGCUUUGACGGGUAGCCGGCCUGAGAGGGUGACCGGCCACAUUGGGACUGAGAUGCGGCCCAGACGCCUACGGGAGGCAGGAGUGGGAGAUAUUGCACAAUGGGCGGAAGCCUGAUGCAGCAACGCCGCGUGCGGGAUGACGGCCUUCGGGUUGUAAACCGCUUUCGCCUGUGACGAAGCGUGAGUAACGGUAAUGGGUAAAGAAGCACCGGCUAACUACGU
This 467-nucleotide ribosomal RNA is filed under the name uncultured bacterium. Its description in RNAcentral is "partial 16S ribosomal RNA". It matches the Rfam family "Bacterial small subunit ribosomal RNA", at positions 28 to 506 of the family's 1533-position model. The record is from RNAcentral.